Molecule: ribosomal RNA, 392 nt
Filed under: uncultured bacterium
Lineage: Bacteria
Description: bacterial SSU rRNA
Rfam family: Bacterial small subunit ribosomal RNA
Source: RNAcentral
AGCGAACGUUUGCGGCGGGCUUAACACAUGCAAGUCGAACGGGCUGUUCCUUCGGGGGCAGUCAGUGGCGCACGGGUGCGUAACACGUAGGUAAUCAACCCUCUGGUUGGGGAUAACACUUCGAAAGGAGUGCUAAUACCCGGUAUGGCGCAGCGGUCUUCGGAUCGCGGCGAGAAAGACCCGCAAGGGUUGCCAGAGGACGAGCCUGCGGCCCAUCAGCUAGUUGGCGAGGUAACGGCUCGCCAAGGCGAAGACGGGUAGCUGGUCUGAGAGGAUGAUCAGCCACACUGGAACUGAGACACGGUCCAGACUCCUACGGGAGGCAGCAGUGGGGAAUAUUGCGCAAUGGGCGAAAGCCUGACGCAGCCACGCCGCGUGAGCGAUGAAGGCCU